This 497-nucleotide ribosomal RNA is filed under the name uncultured bacterium. RNAcentral's name for it is "partial 16S ribosomal RNA". It matches the Rfam family "Bacterial small subunit ribosomal RNA", at positions 28 to 507 of the family's 1533-position model. The record is from RNAcentral.
GAUGAACGCUGGCGGCGUGCCUAAUACAUGCAAGUCGAGCGAACGGACGAGAAGCUUGCUUUUCUGAUGUUAGCGGCGGACGGGUGAGUAACACGUGGAUAACCUACCUAUAAGACUGGGAUAACUUCGGGAAACCGGAGCUAAUACCGGAUAAUAUUUUGAACCGCAUGGUUCAAAAGUGAAAGACGGUCUUGCUGUCACUUAUAGAUGGAUCCGCGCUGCAUUAGCUAGUUGGUAAGGUAACGGCUUACCAAGGCAACGAUGCAUAGCCGACCUGAGAGGGUGAUCGGCCACACUGGAACUGAGACACGGUCCAGACUCCUACGGGAGGCAGCAGUAGGGAAUCUUCCGCAAUGGGCGAAAGCCUGACGGAGCAACGCCGCGUGAGUGAUGAAGGUCUUCGGAUCGUAAAACUCUGUUAUUAGGGAAGAACAUAUGUGUAAGUAACCGUGCACAUCUUGACGGUACCUAAUCAGAAAGCCACGGCUAACUACGUG